GUGGGGAAUAUUGGACAAUGGGGGGAACCCUGAUCCAGCCAUGCCGCGUGUGUGAAGAAGGCCUUUUGGUUGUAAAGCACUUUAAGUGGGGAGGAGGCUUACCUGGUUAAUACCUAGGCUAAGUGGACGUUACCCACAGAAUAAGCACCGGCUAACUCUGUGCCAGCAGCCGCGGUAAUACAGAGGGUGCGAGCGUUAAUCGGAUUUACUAGGCGUAAAGCGCGCGUAGGUGGUUAAUUAAGUCAAAUGUGAAAUCCCCGAGCUGAACUUGGGAAUUGCAUUCGAUACUGGUUAGCUAGAGUAUGGGGGAGGAUGGUAGAAUUCCAUGUGUAGCGGUGAAAUGCGUAGAGAUCUGGAGGAAUACCGAUGGCGAAGGCAGCCAUCUGGCCUAAUACUGACACUGAGGUGCGAAAGCGUGGGGAGCAAACAGGAUUAGAUACCCCGGUAGUCC
RNAcentral lists this ribosomal RNA (451 nucleotides) under uncultured bacterium. RNAcentral's name for it is "partial 16S ribosomal RNA". It matches the Rfam family "Bacterial small subunit ribosomal RNA", at positions 354 to 796 of the family's 1533-position model. The record is from RNAcentral.